This 498-nucleotide long non-coding RNA is filed under the name Spirodela polyrhiza (greater duckweed). RNAcentral describes it as "long non-coding RNA (SPOL_LNC000554)". The record is from RNAcentral. Lineage: Eukaryota; Viridiplantae; Streptophyta; Magnoliopsida; Alismatales; Araceae.
GUUAAUAUCUCCAGAAGAAAGUUAGAAUGAUCCAGUAACCUUCAUAUGUAAGCAUGAAAUAUAAAUGAUACUGGAAUGAUGGCCAAGAAAAGAUAGAUAACACUUCAAAAUAACCCAUAUAUUGCAACCAACUCUGAAUCAUCCUCAUCAUUGAUACGCUUUGUCACUUUCUUACGAGCCUUGGACGGGAAUAUAGGACGAACAAUUUUUCCUGUAAAAUUAGGUUAGAUUGACAUCAUAUGCCUCAAUUUGAUUCAAUCCAAAAGCUGUUUCUAAACAACUAAUAUCUGGGUUCCAACAUUUACAACCCUGCCCUGGAAUCUGAAAGGAGGCAUAAAGAUGAUGGCAAAAUAAGCUUUAAUUGGGGGAAUAGAGAGUUCAGGAGACAGACUUCAUACUUACUAUGGAUUUCAGAUAGUUACUGGUGGAGGCUUCCUCUUCCAGCAAUUCUGCCCACUAUUUGAUGUUUCAGUAUUCUUGCACACAUUUAUGCUCAAG